ACCCCAGUUCUCCACACAGUCUCUGCUUGAUCGUCAUCGCUCCUAACCUGGUGCCCUUGUGUUUCCCUGUUCUUAGUUUUCCCUGUGUCUAACCCUGUCUGUCUGUCUCUUUGCCUUUCCCCAGGUUCACUCACCCUUGUCCUCCGUCGAGUCAGCUGGGCUCGCCCACCUGCCCUCUCCCCUCGGACUUCCGCCACGGCGUCCUCCCGGCUCUCCCUCGUGCCUCGCCACUCAGCCGGCCACCACACUCCUCCACCAACCCCCCUGCCCCCCGUGCCCGUGUUCCCCGGCGACCACCUCUCCCUCACCGGAGCUCCCAUAACCCCUUCUUUACCUCAAUAAAAUCUGUUUCAACCUGA
Molecule: long non-coding RNA, 359 nt
Organism: Micropterus salmoides (largemouth bass)
Lineage: Eukaryota; Metazoa; Chordata; Actinopteri; Centrarchiformes; Centrarchidae
Exons: 2
Source: RefSeq, a predicted model, not a curated record